Molecule: long non-coding RNA, 547 nt
Organism: Magnolia sinica
Lineage: Eukaryota; Viridiplantae; Streptophyta; Magnoliopsida; Magnoliales; Magnoliaceae
Exons: 3
Source: RefSeq, a predicted model, not a curated record
UGCUAUGACUAGUUUGAUAUUUGCCACGUUUCAGGACUUGCACAUUUGUGUAAGGACAAUGGAUUUUCAUUCUUUUAGAGUUUAUUAACUACUCCCAAGAGCAGUUGAAGUUGGCAAAGCUAGCCCUUCUCUCCUUGUUCAGUUGAGGUUUGGUGUUCUAGAGGCUAGAGCCUUUGGUGUUUCUCAGUCUAGGAAACGAGCAUUCAUAUGGGCAGCUUCUCCAGAAGAGACACUCCCAGAGUGGCUAGAACUAAUGCAUAUCUUUGCAGGCCCAUAACUGAAAAUCACAUUACCAGGGGAUGUACAAUAUGCUGCCGUCAGGAGUACAGCUAGAGGGGCACCCUUUCGUGCAAUAACUGUGAGAGAUACAAUUGGAGAUCUCCCACCUGUUGGAAAUGGAGCAUCUAAAACAGAGAUGGAUGUGAAACUAUAUACUGGUCAAAUGGUGGAUUUGAUACCUUGGUGCUUGCAAUGGAGCAGAGCUCAAUAAAUGCUUGCAUGAAUGGAAAGAAUCAGGUGUAUGUGAUAUGAAAGAAGUGGAGAUCAA